UGUUAAAUGAAGGUGGUGAGAUGUACUGGAUUAAUCCCUGUGCAAAGAUAUCUUCAGAUUACUGGAAUGAGCACAUCAGCCUCUUGUGAGGUCUGUCUAAAGAAGACUAACAAAAAUUCAGUGCAGCGUCCUGAGAAGAUGGAUCGCAGCUCUGCAGUCACUGUCCAGGUGGGUCAGUGGGAGCAGAAGCCCUCUGCUGAUGUACAGGCUCUGGUCAGCAACAUCCAGCAAGACCCACACAGCCUCUGCCUGCUGGAGCUUUUUGUUUGCCUGUGACUGGAAAGUCAGAUUUCUGUUCCGGGGGUUGCAGCUCCCUGUGCUGGAGAAACAGCCUGGCACCUGCAGAGGUGCACGGUGAUAUGAUUGUGAGGAAGCAAAGCCCAGGAAGAAGGAAUCCCUGCAGUCCUGUUCUUUUAGCUCCAAGCCUGCUCAGAGGAAGCAGCAGACAGUUUGAGGGGUUUGGGCUCACAGAUGGUGACAGCAUGGAGAGACUGUGGUCCUUCCCUGAAGAACUGCAGGAGUCACAGAGGAGAUGAGUCCAUCUCACUGUCUGGACUUGCUGACUGAUUAAGUGGAUUAGUAUUUAAUAUCCAUUGUAAGCGCUAUUUAUAUCUACGUCAUGAUUUAAGGAAGUAAUCAUUUUGAUGCACAUUCUUAAUUUUAUGUUUGAGAAUGUUUCAUGUGUUGUUUCACUUUAGUUUGAAAGUUUA
Molecule: long non-coding RNA, 710 nt
Organism: Archocentrus centrarchus (flier cichlid)
Lineage: Eukaryota; Metazoa; Chordata; Actinopteri; Cichliformes; Cichlidae
Exons: 4
Source: RefSeq, a predicted model, not a curated record